UCGUCUCACCAUUAUUUGCAAUAUUUACGUCUGGUCUGGAGUUGGCCGAAGAAAUAAUCAAAUAUUUAGUUUUGCUAAUGUUUAGCUUAAGUUGUUUAAAAUUUAACCGAUUCGCCAGAUAAUGUAAAUCUUGGUUUAAAAGUGUUUCAACAUGAUUUGGAUUUUUAGCCGCAAUGAACAGAACAGUGUCGUCGGCAAAUAAAUUUACAUCACAAAACCGUAAAACUCGCUUCAUGUCAUUAAUAUAAAUUAUAAACAAAAUGGGCCCUAAAACACUUCCUUGCGGUACACCCAGUGUAUUAGCAAUGGAAACUGAUUCAGAAUCAUAAAAACGAGUCUUCUGAGUUCUAGCACACAAAUAGCUUUCAAACCAUUUAUAUGCUGUCCCUACGAUACCAAAGCGCUUUAGUGUUUGCAACAAUAAGGGCCUAGAAAUUGUUUUAAAAGCGCGUUUUAGAUGCAGAAACACCGCAAAAAUAGUUUCUUUAGCCUCGAUUUUCUCUUUCCAUUUUGCUAACACCAAAUUCAAUGCAGACUCACAAGAGUGUCCCUCUCAAUAACCUGAUUGUUCUGGGAUCAGCAAAUCAUUACUGUUUAAAUAAUGCAUUAGCUGGCCUUUAACAAUUAGCUCCAAAAUUUUCUCUAAUGUGUGCAGUAUAUUAAUGGGGCGGAACUCUUCGGCUUUAUCCGUCCCAGUUAUUUUGGGGAUAGGAACCACAAGAGAUUCCUUCCAAACUUCAGGCACGUGCCCUGUUUGUAAAGAUUCGUUGACAAGGUCCAGCAAGUCGUGUCCAAUUACAUGAAAGCAAUCUUGUAUUACUUUUGCGUUGACAUUGUCGAUACCAGCCUAUCUCUUCGAAAAGAAACAAAUAUCUUUCAACUCUGCAAAAGUAAUAGGAUGAAAGCCAUCAAAUCUACAGUUAUUAUGGAUCGACUGUAUUACCUCGUCAGGUUCAUUGACCACAUCAAUACUUUGAUUGAUCGAUUGAACACUUUCAACGAAAUAACUGUUAAAUUUAUUUGCAAUAACUCGCGCGGAGUUUUCUUCAAUACCAUCAAAAGUUAUGGACUGUGAUAAUGUAUUAUUACUUUUCAUUAAUUUUUUUAAAGUUUUCCAUAACUCUUUGCUGUUAUUUUGAUGUUGAUCGAUCUUCCGUUGUAUAUAUGCACAUCUAACCUUUUUCAAGGUGCGUGAAUAUAUGUUUCGCGCCCCGGUGUACCUGUUCCAAUCAUCGUUAUCAUUACUUCUACAAAAAUUUUUAUAACAUUUAUCUCUUUUACGUUUUAAACGCACAAGAUCUAAAGAGUACCAGCUGUUCGAAUUUUGUAACUCAACAAAUUUUUCAGAAACUAGAGUCUUCCAACGUAUUGGUUAGUACAGCUGCUUUAUUGUCCAAAUCUCCAGUUAUUGGAUGAAAAUUCAAACUUCUUGAAACAAGCUGAGACAUUGCUUGUUUCGAAUAACUAUUCCAGCACUUUAUUUUUACUUUAUCCUCUCGGUUUUGAUCGUUUUCAAUUGAAAUACAAAUUGUCUCAUGGUCUGUUAUUUUAUAAUCGGCCUCAGUGAAGGAAUUAACAUUAUCAAAAUUGGAGAACACAUGAUCAAUCAAGGUACGAGUGCCUGGAAAUUCUUGUAAAUUGAAAAACUGUUUGUCUUAGAUUUAAAAAAAAACCGACUAAUUGCUUGAAUUGAUUCGAGUUCGAUCCACCAAGCCAAUCAAUAUUGAAAACACCAGCAAUUACGUUUAAUUUGUUCAAAUCAACAAAAUUUUCCCACCAGUUAUCUAAAAUUUCCAAAAAACGCUGGUCAUUUGAACUGGGGGAAUGGUAGACUAUUCCAAAAUUUCCCAUCGUCAUGCCUCUCUGAACUGAUAUUCCCAGGAACCAAUUGUUUUCAACAGAUUCGUUUGAUAGAAUGUUUAACUUGACUGAUUCCUUGGCGUAAAUAGCAACCCCACCAGUAUGUCUGGAAUGUGAAAGGCAAAAAGCAACUUUAUAACCCGGAAUACUAUAUUGAUCAAAUGCAUCAGCUUCCACUAUGUGAGUUUCAGCCAGCAAUACUAACAUUGGUCUUUUUUUUCCACAAAGCAACAUAAUUUGUGGAUAAACCAGCAAGAUUAAGAUAAACUAUUUCUAAUUUCCUUUCACAUUGCAUUUUCUUCAGCUGCUAUUUACUUGACAACAUGUUGCUUUUUCUUUUUUCAAACAGUCUCCGAAACACUGGACACUGCGAACUUGAUGCUGGAUGUUUCGCGUCCAAAUUCAUUUUUAACUUAUUAUGUUUUAAACAAUUCACGCAAUUAUAAUCAGUUGAAGCGCAUUCCGAUGUUUUGUGCUUUUCACUGCAUUUAGAGCAUGUCUCAGGAUUAACACACUCUGUGCUUUUAUGACCAAAUUCGCCACAUUUAAAGCAACGCAAUACAUUUAUGGCCUCUCGUACAAAAACUCGUAAUUCAUCGGAGGAAUAUAGAUCACUCAUUCCCACAAUCUUCAACUUAGGCUUCGCGAUUGUGGGAAUAACAGCAUUAUAUCGUUCACCCAGGUUGCUUUCAAUGUCUUUUUUAACAACCUCAACAUUAUCCCCUACUGCACACUCUGCAAUUAUCGAGCCAUUCUUACCGUUUCUAAAGUUUCGAUUUUGUGGAUUUUUGGAUCUAAUGUUUUUUUCAAAAAACAUCUAGUAUCUUCACUAGAUUGAGAAGUCUCGACCGGUUUGAUCACAAUGACCGGCCGAGCCUUACGGUUUUCCUUUUUCUGUAAUUAAUUUGAUAUACUCCCAGUCGAACCCGCUAAAACAUUCGCGUAUGAUGGUAUACUUUCUGAAAAAACCUCGUCAUCACGUACUAGUAACAUCUUUUUACUGGGGUUAGAGUCCGAUUCAAAGUGAACCGUUCUCUCAUUUCGGCUCCUUUUUCUGUUCAUUGGACCAUUAUUUCUAUCGCGAUCGGUAUUUAAGACUAUUUGGUUUUUGAAAUCAUCCAGCUUUCUGGCAACACUGGUCUCAAUGUUUACCAGACUCUCACGAAGAGAAUCGCUGACAGAUUUCAAAAUAGUCUCGAUCGCGUUAGAAACAGCAACAUUUCAAGCGUGAGUUUUCAAAUAGACGUAUGUAACAUCAGCAAGAAUCUGAGAAAAUGGAGUAACAAAUUUCUAUUUGUAUGAAUAAAUGCUAUUUAAAAUUGUUUGCUCUAUGAUCGGGUUUGAUUUUAGCAAGAGUUAAGUGAAAAAAAUAUGUUUUUAUUGUAUGUUUCAACAUACUGUUUUUUUGUCAUUUUCCUAGCGAAUUUGAUAAAAAAAUGUUUUACGCCGUUUUGUCGUGUAAUUUUUACAUACACCCUAAUGAUUCGUCGUUGUGGCAGUUCUUUGUUUACAUACGCCCUAUACUAUUCGUCGCUCGAGCUAAUUGUUUUUAUUUUACGUCAAAUCGGAUACACCAGUAUUAAUCAGUUUAUUUCAGAGAGUCGGUUUGAUAACCAUCAAGUUUGGAUGGAAAAGCAUUGAAAGAAUUAGACAACCAGCACUCGUAUUGAAGCACCGAUCGAAUGUUAUUCGGUAGCACAUAAAAAGCAAUGCUUAGCUCUCUCUCGAAUUUCCCGGCGAGAUCUUCUAGUGGACGUAGCGUAGUGUUUAUUAUUCUAGCUGUAUAUUUCUUUCCAUUCUGUAAUGAAAAUCUGGAAGGAUAUUUUCAUCGGAGAUGAGAUACUCUCGAACACAUACAAGCUGAUGCUGGUUGACGAUGUGAUGUACAGAAUUAACGGGAAGCGUGUGUCGCGCACCCUUGGAGGUGUCCAGGUGGAUGGCGCAAAUUCCCCUGCACCGAAAAUUUCACCGAAUCCAGUGUCGACAUCAUGCUGAGUCAUCGCCUGGUACAGACUGGAUUAGGCGACGAGAAACAGUUCACCCCAUUCCUGAAGGACUACAUGAAGAAAAAUAUUGUAGAAUAAUGUAGCUUUUGUGUAAAAGUUUAUUUUUACAUUUAAAUAAACAUGGAACAAUAAACAAAAAGUAGUGGAAAAAAAAGUAAGCAAAUCAA
Molecule: long non-coding RNA, 4033 nt
Organism: Wyeomyia smithii (pitcher-plant mosquito)
Lineage: Eukaryota; Metazoa; Arthropoda; Insecta; Diptera; Culicidae
Exons: 2
Source: RefSeq, a predicted model, not a curated record